This 941-nucleotide non-coding RNA is filed under the name Saurida nebulosa (clouded lizardfish). RNAcentral's name for it is "12S ribosomal RNA". It matches the Rfam family "Bacterial small subunit ribosomal RNA". The record is from RNAcentral. Lineage: Eukaryota; Metazoa; Chordata; Actinopteri; Aulopiformes; Synodontidae.
CAAAAGCUUGGUCCUGACUUUCUUAUCGGCUAUAACUAAAUUUAUACAUGCAAGCAUCUACCCCCCUGUGAGAAUGCCCUCGACCUCCUAAUUGGAAACGAGGAGCAGGCAUCAGGCUCGCUCCCUGCAGCCCAAAACGCCUUGCUAAGCCACACCCCCAAGGGAAUUCAGCAGUGAUAAACAUUAAGCUAUGAGUGAAAGCUCGACUUAGUGAAAGUAUUUAGGGCCGGUAAAACUCGUGCCAGCCACCGCGGUUAUACGAGAGGCCCAAGUUGAUAAAUGCCGGCGUAAAGUGUGGUUAGGGAAACUACUCUAAAGUUGAACGCCCCCAGAACUGUUAUACGCACCCGGGAGCAGGAAACCCAACUGCGAAAGUGACUUUAAACUUCCGACCCCACGACAGCUAAGGUACAAACUGGGAUUAGAUACCCCAUUAUGCUUAGCCGUAAACUUUGAUAGUAUUGCACAACCUCUAUCCGCCCGGGAACUACGAGCGCUAGCUUAAAACCCAAAGGACUUGGCGGUGCUUCAGACCCCCCUAGAGGAGCCUGUUCUAGAACCGAUGAUCCCCGUUCAACCUCACCAUUUCUUGUUCCUCCCGCCUAUAUACCGCCGUCGCCAGCCUACCCUUUAAAGGUUCCACAGUAGGCGAAACUAGCACUCCUUAAAACGUCAGGUCGAGGUGUAGCGUAUGAAAUGGGAAGAAAUGGGCUACAUUCUCUGAGUCAGAGAACUACGAAAGAAGCCCUGAAACGAGCUUCUGAAGGUGGAUUUAGCAGUAAGUUAGAAAACAGAGAGUUCAACUGAAAUUGGCUCUGAAGCGCGUACACACCGCCCGUCACUCUCCCCGACAAACCACUUAAAUUUAAAUAAAAAUUUUUAAAAAUAAGGGGAGGCAAGUCGUAACAUGGUAAGUGUACCGGAAGGUGCACUUGGAAAAA